UCCUCUCCUCUCCUCACCCCACCGGGUCGCGGCCGCGCUCCCGCCCCCGCCGCCGCACGGCGCAUGCGCUUUUCUCGGGGCAUUACGGCUCUGCUGUGAUAUACGGGAGCACGUGUUGGGCUUCACGUCCUUGAAAUGCCGUGGCGGCUUAGUGGCGGUAAUUACGGUAAGUUCCCUUAGUGGGCGUGCCCACGAGGGUAUUUACGGUAACGGAGUGCGCUCAGUAGUUACAAAUAAGGUGCGGGCGGCCCAGGCGGCACUGAAGUUCCAUAAAUCACAGAAUCAAUUAGGAUGGAAAACGCGUCUGAGAUCAUCGAGUCCAGCCUAUGACUGAUCACCAUCCUGUCAACUGGACUAUGGCACUAAGUGCCACGUCCAGUCUUUCCUUAAACACCUCCGGGGAUGGUGACUCCACCGCCUCCCCUGAGCAGCCCGUUCCAAUGUCUCGUCACCCUUUCUGUGAAGAAAUUCCUCCUGAUGUCCAACAUAAACCUCCCGUGACACAGCUUGAGGUUAUGUCCUCUCACCCUGUCACUAGUUGCCUGGUAGAAGAGGCCGAUCCAAAUCUGGCUACAAUCUGCUUUCUGGGAUUUGAACAGAGCGAUAAGGUCUCCCCUCAGCCUCCUUUACUCCAGGCUAAACACCCCCAGCUCCCUCAGCCGCUCCUCGUAGGACUUGUGCUCCAGACCCUUCACCAGCUUUGUUGCCCUCCUCUGGACUCGCUCCAGCGCGAUCGUGCCACAGGGCGUCGGGAUAAAAUCCGUCUGGGAGCUUGUUUUUCCUCGGUAAUGUCUUUACAUCUGCGAAGGAGAGUUGGAGCUCCCCUCAGAGAGCGGGAAGCGGGAGCCCCUGGGCGGCUCCAGCUCUGGCGCUGUGACAGUGCUGGGCUUUGAGGAAAAGGAAUAACCUUGUUUGACUCUCACAGUCAGGCUUUUAGGUUUUCGAGUCGAUUUGUUCCUCUCUUUUAAAGAAAGCUUCUUUUCUGUCAAGAAGGAAAACUCCAGUAGCCUCAGGAUUUUCCUCACGUCGCUUCCUGUCAGUAAGAAGAUUUGAAAUCCAGCAGAAAAGCCAGAGAGUUGUUUCCCAGUGUUUACAGAUUCCUUGGCGUUCAAGCUGAAUUUGACCUCGAAGCACCUCUUCCUCGUGCAAUCUUCUGGCAGUAGGAGAUCCCUGAACCUUCCAACUCCCCGGCCAGCACAGAGUGUUACAGGAGCAGUUCUCCAGGGAGAGCACUGGAACUGUGCGGACAACACACAUUGCCAGGUACCUGUGGAGCACAGCAGAGCCCACAGAGAACAGAGCAGAGCACGGUCGGGGAGGCCAAAUCGGGACAGAUAAAAGGAGAGGAGAGUGAGAUGUGGAGCUGCAAGGAGAGUCCUUGCUUGACUCAAAAAUGAGACUCCAGCCAUGCAGCACUUCUCUGCAGCUGAGGUAUUUAUAAGCUGGGGUUUGUUGGUUUUACUACAGUUGUAAAUUUCUGUGUAGGGAACACACAGGCCCUUAUUCCGGGUACACCCAUUAGUCAUGAUUCAUAUUUAAUACUAGGGUAGGAUUAAAUGCAAUGAUGCAAUUUACACCCUGUCUGCAGCUGAGUUUAUACUAACAUAGCUGAAAAUUCAAAUAUUCCUUCUUAGAAGGGAUAUGUUCCUUCGAGGAUUUCUUAUUUAUAGCAAUGAGGUAGCUGGACAUACCUGUUUGCAGGACAAAAGUUCCCAAAUCUGUGUUAUUCUAUGCAAAAACACUAUCUUUAAUCUGUUUAAAGACCCAUUUUAAUUUCUCUUUAGAUGCUGUUACAGAUUCUGCCUCUACAAAUGUGGAAUUGAAGUUUCUGCUCAGUUAAACCAAGGCUUAGGAUAUAUAUUGGGGUGUUGGCAGAAGUGUCUGUCUUUUGAUUCUUGUUCUUGGGCACACAAAUUCAAGAGGGAGGGGGUGAAUAGCGAAGCUGAGCAGCUUGUUCUGUGCAAUCUCAAUCCCAUCAUUUACUGUCACCUUUCUGUGGGCCAUGUCACCAUUCCUGGUAUAACCACCUCACAGAAUCCACACAGGUGGGCCCAUAACGUGCCUCACCUGGAAAUCUCAAGGUUCACGUCAAGGUAAUGCACAAACAUUGUUGCUCUGGACAGCCACUUUCAGAUCUCCUCCCAGUGCUGAACACAUGCUGGGGGGUGUAUCUUUGACAGCAUCUAAUCUGCUGGAGUAAUGAGAGGAAUUAAUGCUGCAGAGUGCAAUUGAGAUUUUUUUUUAACCUGCUUUUUCCACUAUCCUCAAAAAGGCCUAAGUGGAACCACCUGCUGGAACUUGGAAGGACCUGAAUGAUCUCCUCUUACUGCCAGGUUCUUAAAAGGUACACAAGGGGUCAGAUCUUUGUAACUGUCAAUUGGUAUUUCCUUUCUGCGUUUUGUUUGCUGACUGUAAGUAAGCUAAGCAGGCUGCACUGUCAUAAAGAAAGCUUCCUUUUAUUCUAAUUUGCCCUGAUUUGAGGUCCUAACUCUGUCCCCUAAUGCUAAGGAAGAAGCUAGAGGAGAAAAUGUGUUUAUAAAAAAAUAACUGAAAGUAAUAAGAUACAAACAGACACUGGGAAAGGUUAAAAAUGAAAACUUGUUGAGAUCUGAACAGUUCAGCUUCCACGUUUAUUCUAUAGCUCUUGGAAUGUGAUCUUUACGCAACACACCACUUGGUUACCUGAACUGGGUUUUCAGCAGAAAUGUCAACAGUCUCAAGGUAUUGCAGAGCUGAGUGGUUACAUUACCAGCAACCAUUGUUCCUGUCCCCCUCUGAGGGCAGUUUCAAUCAUCCUUUGGUGUUAACUGGUAAAUGCAUUUGGCUUGGAAAAGGAGGAUCAAAUUGGCAGUAAAGGCACAUAGAUCCAAAAACCAGACCAAUAAAGCAUAAAAUUAAACCUUGCUUCAGUGUUAGAAAAGGUUUGCGUGUCCUUUCAUUAAUUCUCUAAAUAACAAAACACCCCUAAGCAAUGUUAUGGUAGCCACGCCUGGCAAAGGUGAAAUUAUUAAGACAGUGCUUUUCAGAAAUGCCGAGUAUCCAACUUCUGACCUCAGCCUCUCUGAAAUUCAGGUGCGGAAUGUCUCAGUGUUGCACUGGGUCAUGUGACACUGUGUUCUUAGGGUUUUCUGCUCUGGGAAUACACUUCUCUCUUACCUACAUAAGUUGGUAAACAAUGUUACAUCGCACCAGGGGAAGACGGUUCUGCUCUGAUGUCAGGAGCAGCCUGCUUCAUAAAACACAAGACCUUAGACAACAAUCUGGGUAGUGCUACCAGUGACAGGGCACUGGUUUAUUCACCCUGGGUACAUGUGUGGGAUGAGGGAAGAAUAUGUAGUUAAUUGCUCAGUCAUAUAAAUGCAGAGGCUCUUUCUCCUGGUCACAACGGGCCAUUGCUCACAGCACUGGUGUCAGCACAACAUACAGGGGGAUCAAAAAGGGCUGAAAGCAGAGGCAGUGCCCCUGCUCAGGAGAGGAAGUCAGUGUGUCAGAAAGCACUGCAGGUGAACAGUAUGGUCAGGCUUAUUUCUGCAGUUUUCCACAAUUUGCACUGGAAAUCUGAAUGAAGAUUUUCAAAAGUAAAUGCACCUUACUUUUCAGAAUUAAUAAUUUCCAGCUCGAAAUAGCCUGGGCAGAAGUUACUCACAACUGUCAAUGAGCUGCUGACUGGUGGCCAGCAGGCAGAGACUGCAGGAUGCUUGAUCCUUUGCUUUAAUUCCAAGUGUAGCUCAGGGAUCCCAGAAGAUCCGAUGAGAGAGAUCAGAGUUUCUACUUUGAUUUGAAAAUUUCUUCUGUCUUAGAGGAGGAUGAAAUGAAAAACCUGGGGGUCUUUGAAAGUGGAAACCAAAGAUUUGUGAAAAAGUUGCAUGGUAGUUAGACACUUGAUUCAGGAAGAAAACAUAGAAGAACAAUUCUGGUAGGGAAAGGAAGAUGGAGAAGGGUAUACAGAUAAUAUGGGAGUGUAAAACAGGUUGUGGAAGAAAGAAGGAGAAGGAAAAGAAGGAAAACUCACUAGUACUUUAUUAAAAAAAAAAAAGGAGGGGCAAGAAAAAGGGUAAAACUUUCAGUGAAAAAGUUUAGAACUUCUAAACAUUUCCCACAUUGUAAGGAGUUCCUGCAACCUUCAAAUAAAUUGCAUGAAUUGCAUUGGAGGUCAGAAUGGAAAAAGUUAUUAGGUGGACUUUUUUUCCUGUUACGAUGUGUUUCACAACUCACAAUUUAAGAAUGCAUGGUCUGAUCAGAAUAUGUGCAAAAGUCAUGCCAUAUCUUCUCCUAGAUUGCUCUUUCCAUGAGAUACAAAAUGUCUGCACUGAGAGUGCCCAGUGUUUCUCCUGAUUUGGCCUUUAAGGUUUAAGUUCUUGCAGAAACUAACCAUAAUGAGUGAGCCAAUAAACAAUCCACAAGGCACAAACCUUUCACCCUUGCCAUAUGCAACAACACCCAUAGUUAGUUUUUAUGAAAUAUAUUAGUGUCACCUUUAAACCAGUCAUCUGUAAUGAAAAAUAAUUAAAAUUCAGAGCAACAUCAUAAGGGUCAAAAUGUGUUUCAUUGAAACAUUUUGGAAAAGCUGCCAGCAUUCUGAGAAAUUAAUUGCUGUAUGUGUGUUCCUAUGGGAAAUUAUUAAAUUAAUUGAAAAAGCUAUAAAUUGACUGAUAGCACUUACUAUCAUAAUAAAUGAGCAUCACAGAGUCAGUUAUUAAUCAGAUUAUAGAUUAAAUGGGGACAGUCUGAUAAGAAUAGACUGUUUUCACCUAAGGCAGUUCCGUGAAGGAAGCCUCUUCAUUUCAAUCUUGAACAUUAUGCACCCAGUUCUAGACAAGUUUCCUGUCAAACAGCCUGUCUGAAUGCAGAAAUCCAGAUCUGCAAAUAUCUAUGAUAAAGAAAUUCACACAUGUUUUCUGCUGCAUACAAUACAUGUUCCUUUUUGCCUGUGGACAGACUACAGGAUCAGAUUCUUGGCCCAGUUCCUGCAACAAAACAGGCUAAAAACAGAAAAGAAGUGUCAGGUGCUUGUGUGAGAGGUUAUUAAUUAAUAUGACGUAACCAUUUCUGAAUGAGCAGGGCUAACACAGAGAAAAUAAAAGGAAUCCACAGGAAGUGGUUUUAUCAGAACCACAAAAAGCUGUUAAGCCAUUAUUCUGUAGAAAUCCUUAUUGUAGCUGAACCAGCAUGUUUGCUUUUUUUGUGUGCAGUUACUUACUGUACUGGUGAUACAAUAUCCUGCAAAUACUUUAAUAAACUUUGACCUUGAUUUAGCUGCAGCAAUUCAUUAUUUUAUCUCGUCAACUCAGCAGAAACAUGAAUGAAAAUUCAUUUCACAUUCCGAAGCGAAGAAUCCUGCUCAGGAAAGGCCAGUAGUGGAACAGCAGGAUGCUGGCAAGCAGGAACCAAGGUAUAUAUUCUGUAAAGCAACAAAACUGGUUUUACAUUUUUCCUGCAUAAAAGACUCCUCUUCUAUCUACCUGCUUCCCUGUGUUAUGCAGAAAUCUGGUAACUUUACUCUCCGUGUACUUUUCUUCUAUGAAAGAAAAAACGUUUACAUAUCAAAUGGGGAAGGGAGUAGAGAGAAUGUACCUAAUUGCCUGGCCUAAAUUUUAAUCUUGAAAUUUAGGCAUAGAAUGGAUUUUAGGGAUAUCUGUUUAGCUGUCCUCUUGAACUUGCUACUUGUGCAAAUCAAAUAGGAAAGUUUUAAAAGCUUCAAUUUAGUCUUUUAUCUAAAGAUAAACUAUUAUUCAUUAAGUUGACUUACUGGUGCCCAUAACUGUCUUCUCAAGUUUACAAAGGAGAGAGCAAAAGAUAGGUUGGAAAAGCUGGAAAAGUAAGAAAAAAGAAUACUAUGCCAUGCAAGCAAAAACAAGAUGUGUUUUCUUUUUUGUAAUAAAUCACAAACAUACAAUUAAAACUGUAGUUUUAAUCCUGGAAACAGGAAAUGAUUAUAAAGACUAAAAUUUUUCUAAACAGGACUAACUUGAAUUCUCUGUCUUACCAAAUAGAAUGAAAUAUUAUAGUUUGAUAAAUGUACAUAUAGCUUGCAUAAGCCUCAUUUGCACACAUACUUAGUUAUACAGCUAAAGUUAUAGCUUAAAUAUACUUUUUUACCCUUUGGAACUUUCAGAAAGUUUUGCCUGUUCCCCAUCUUGAACAUUUUCACAACUAUUUCUGAACUAUUUCGGUUUACUGCUGCAUCUUGACUGUAAAAACUGCUUUAGAAAGCUUGUGUUUUAAAAAUCAGCAUCUGCUUGAACACUAUUAAGUGAUGAAUGCACACUCCUUUUUUUUACUUAAAUUUUCUAUAACUUUGCUUCCUCAGAAUGUAAAGUCAGCAUUACACUUGAUUCACAGGUGUCUAUUUUAGGAACAAUCAUAAAUGUAAGAUGAGCUUGGGGUCCUACUUAAGGAACGGUAAGGAAAGAACACACUCUUUUCCUUGCAAAAAUUAAAUAAAGCCAUGCCCAUAAUGCAUAUAAAGAGACAACAUUCUUGGGGAACACAGUGAUCACAAGCACUACUCUGAGGUCAAAUUACUUGCAGUAAUUCUGUGAUCCUCGGCAAGAGUUUUUAUUUCACAAUAAUAUAACUCAUUCCACUGGAUGCUUUUGUAACUUCUGUGGUUGUGCAACUGAAUUAAAAAUGUGAAAAGAGCGUGAACUGUUAGUGCCAUCUUAGUGCCACAAGUACCAGCUACUGUCUCCUGCUUAUGUCUCCAGGGUGUCACUGAUCCACCACUCUGCAGCUUUGUAAGUGGCAUUUUCCCUAAGGGCCAUGAAAUAUAAAUAUACAGGCUGGAAAACAGUGCAUGAGAGAAGAGGAGGAGGCGAAACUGUGAGGUAGCUACAGACACUCUUGCUCCACUGCCUGUCCCACAGGGCCUGAAGCAGGUUGUGGGCUGGGUCAGCUGGACUUCCACAUCGUGGAAACUGAGCCUUCAGGAGCAGAUAGAUCAAACCUGAAAGCAAACAGCAAACCCCCAAACAUUGUGCAGUUCAUGAUCACAUUAUCUAGUCCAACAUCCUGUAUAAACUGGCAAUUCAAGUCUUAUGCACAUAUUUUUUAUUAAAGCCCAAAUCUUUGUUGGUUUGACUGAAGCACAGCUUGUGUUUUCACUAAAACUUAUCUUCCAGAACUGCAUCCAGUCUCACUUAGAAAACAUUGAGAGUACUGGCUAGUGCCACUGGGAAUUUUUUUCAGAGAUUCUCUAGUUUUACCUGUUAGACAUUUGAUCCUGUUACAUCUUUCUUCACUAAAGAGCUGUUCAGUACCCAGUAUUGUCUUCUUGACAAGAAACUCUUGCUCUUUCCCCCCACCUUGCUGUCCAGAGUUAACUGUUAAAAGUAAGAAUUGAUGAGGGAGUCCUGCACCUUUGAAAGGAUGUUUAUAAAGAAGUCCAGUUUUUCUGAACUCAGAAGAACCUUACAUCAGAGAUUUUUGUGUUUUCUUGCCUAGUUUGUUUUGGGUAGUUCUUUUUAAAAAAAUUUUCGUAAAACAUUGGUGUAAGAGCUGUAAAAAAUCUCUGUCUCCUCGGCAUUUACUCAGGAUCUUAGUAUCCUUGGCUCUAUUACAGCAACUGUUUCGUUCCUGCUUCAUCUCACCAUUGCUACUCCUGCUGUUCCACUUGCACUCACUUCCACCAGCUAAUGGCUGAAUCUUGUUUUCAAGCAUCUGUCCCCUGGGAAACUUUUUUGAAUAUGGGGUUUAGCAUCUGCUCAAGCCUUGCCAUCUGGCUGGAGGGGGUGGAGAUGGCUCCUGCUUUUUUUCUGGUGGGGUGGAGAGACUACUGAGCUCAUAGCCAUAUAGAGGAGCUUAGUGCCUUCCUUACACCCAUUCUGAACAAAAUUUCAGCAAAGUUUACCGUAGAGGUGAAGCCAACUCCCAUCUUACUAAAGGGGAUUAAAGGGAGCUGUGAAACCAUCAGGUGGGCAUGCCGUGGCAUCCUGGUCUCCUGGCUUGAUUCCGCAGGGUU
This is a long non-coding RNA of Pseudopipra pipra, 7960 nucleotides long. RefSeq lists it as uncharacterized. NCBI's taxonomy places the organism in Eukaryota, Metazoa, Chordata, Aves, Passeriformes, Pipridae. The record is from RefSeq and is a predicted model, not a curated record. The transcript has 3 exons.